GUUGUCCUAAUGACAGUGGCUUGAUUUUAUUAUUGAGCCUGGCCUCGCCUGUCUUACAUUCUUUACUAUUUAUGCAGGAGACGAGAUCCAGAGUUUUAGGUGUUGGGGUUUGAUGAUUUGGAAGAUAGGUUGUUCAGGGUGGAGAAGCAGGGUACGUGCAUUCCUAGUUAUAUCCUGUCGGUCGAAAAAUCGAUCAAAAUAUGAGAUAGAUGGAAAGGGUUGUUGGUUUUUCAUGUGCUCCAGCUUCUCCACCAUGCACAACCAAUCUGUAUAUUUUGAGUCACAGUAGCAGGUUGGCUUGAAGUUGCAGUGUGGAUUUAUCCUUCACCACGAGCUGCCGGUUCAAACCCUUGCUACACCGAGCCACCAUUUACAGGCCAUUGAAACUGAUAAUGCUGAUCCUAUAUAAGGACUCAAAAUUAAAGAUUACUUUUGUGAGUUGCAGUGGACCAACAUGAAAAGAAAAGAUGGAAUAGUAGCUUCCCUACAGGCAUUAUUUAAAUUCUAUAAUUGGAAGCGGAUAUACGAGGAGGAGAAGGAAGGGUUACCGAGGGGAAUGAUGUCGUCGACGGUGGCGGCGGCAGCGAUCGGACGCUGGAGAUCGACAAUUCGACAUCUACGACUCCAUCAAUUCCAAUCACUGGAUCGCCACGAGAAGGAAGGGUUCCGCAGGGAGAGAUGUCGUCGUCAACUCGUCAUCGUCGACGGUGGCGGCGGUAGCGGUUUCGCGUGGAUAAGGCGACGAGCGACCUCCUGAUGGGCCGCGUUCUGACGUAUUGGACAUCGACAUCUGCGACUCCAUCAAUUCCAAUCACUGGUUAGUCAGUUCCUCAUCCUCCCUUCGAUCUCUUAAUCAAUCGGUGAUCGGUGAUCGUUUCGUUGGACUUUUAUUUCGAUGAAGCUCAAAGGAUCGCCACGCGUCCUUCGAUUUGAACGCUUAUCCUUUUGAGCUUUGGAUGUGAUACAGCUGCGAUUUUUAAGGUUUCCGAUGGGUUGUUUUCUUUGUUUUGGUUUUUCUUACAAGUUAAGAGACGUGAAGGAUUUGAUUGUCUGGCUCUCUCUACUUUUGGCAUGUUUUUCCCUUUGAUAACAUCAAUCAUCAAUCUGGACGUCAAUCAUCAAUCUGGACGUCAGCCGAAUGGACUUCCGCAUGAUAUGGAUAGAAUAAGUGAAGCUUGUAUGUCAACAGUGUUUGAUCUGAUGGAGAGAAUGAAGUAACAACCAUUAAAUUUGAUAACAUCAAUCUCCACGUCAGCCGAAUGGACUUCCGCAUGAAACAAUAAGUGAAGCUUGUAUGUCAACACUGUUUGAUCUGAUGGAUAGAAUAAAAUAACAACCAUUAAAUUAGACAUUGAACGAAAGCAUUUGGAGGGUCAGACUCGUCUCUUAUCCACAAUAGGGAUAUUCAAACAGUAUUUCUCUAAAUAUCCCUAAAUUCUAAAUCUUCAUCAAAAUCUUCACCCUUGAAAGGGAGUGGAGAUUGGAAUAUUAAAAAUUACCGGGCAAAAAGUCUUGCCUAGUGAUUUCUAUUAUUUUUGUUUUCUAAAAAAAAAAUUAAAAUGAGUUGGUGAGAUAUUUAAUUAUAUAAUUUAGGAUAGGUUGGAGUGAGAUAUUUGAUGGAUGAGACCCAUAAAUAUUUAGUUUGUAAAAUAUUUGAUUGUGAAAUUUAGGAUAUUUGAGAAGUGAAAUAUUUAAUUGAUGAUGUGGAUAUGAGGAUCAUAAAUAUUUGAGAGAAAUAUUUAUUUUUAUUGUGGAUGCUCUCCGAGAUCAUUCAAAUCUUUUAAUUUUUUUUUUUUUUGAACGUUGAAUACUGAAAGUGGAACUAAAAGAAUAAAAAAUGAACUUUUGUGGAUAGUAAAUGAGUAAACUUGUUUUAUCUCAUCGUUUUUGUCGAUAGUAAAUGAACGUUCAAGCUUGUUUGAUUGAUUGAAAAUUUGAUAAGAAUGUUUUGGAUGAAUAUGAUAUAUAAAUUUUGUUCAUGAAUAUUAUUCACGAACAAUUUGCAAUCCUUAUUAAUGAAUAUUAACAAGUUGAACAUAUAUGUGUUCAACCUUAUUCAUUUAAUUUAAUGAAUUGUAAUGCUGGUACAUUGAACAUAUAUGUGUAUUAAACGAACAUAAAUAAGCUCUUACCAAACUAAAUAUCAAGCUUGCUCAUGAAUGUUUGGUUCAUGUACAAUCCUAUCAAUCAAUGGGGAUACAACAGCCAAGUAAAAAUCUACAUAAGGUAAGAGGCAUCACAAAAGACUUGGCUAUUUCCUUGAGUAACACAACCAUUAUUGAAUCUUAGCACUCAAAUGAGGAGUUUAGCCUUGUGGGGCAAUAAUUUACUUGAGAAAAAUAGAUGAAGCUACAAGGUGAGGUAGCUCCUCAAAUUGACAGGGUAUAAAACCAUUUUCCACACUGGGUCUGGCACCUUCAUUUUGACAAGGUGAUUUUGUAGCAUGUAAUUUCAAUUAUUUUGAGUUGAACAAGAAUACUAAUUACAAAGUGGUAUUAGUACUUGAAGGCCCUUAUGCAGUUCAACAAGCAUUUGUAUUUGUUUGUAGACCAGUUCCUGAAUUACACUUUGAAGUUUUAAUUUAAAAAAUUUUUAGGAAGUUUUAAUUCAAGAUUGCUUGGAAGAUAUCCUUGUAUUCUAGUCAGUAUAAAAAAAUUUGAAGAGCAAUUCAGCAGAGGUUUAUAGUUUCGCAUAUUAUUGUGUCAAUUUUUUUCAACUCUUUAAUAUAGGAAUUUCUUGAAGAAUUUUUUUAGCUGAUGUUGUUGCUUGCAAGAGAUUAUAUACUGAUGAACAGCAAUGUUUAAAUAUAGUUAUUACUCUUAUUCAUGUCUGACUAAUUUAGAGUAUUUGCUAGUAAGUUCCUUUAUGGUUGUCAUUAUGAAAAGUGUGAUGAAUCCUUGGUUUUUGAUUCUUUUUCUUGUGGCACUCAUAAAUAUUAUUAAGUGAGUAAACAUUUUAAACUCACUUUAUAAUUGCAACCCACACAACAAAUUUAGAGGGAUCAGGUGUCAUAAUCCCGAAACACUCUCCUGAUGCUACUCUUACAUUGACACCUUAUGAAACUGCAACCCCUUAGACAUUCUCAGAAAGCGUAUGGGACGACAAACAGUUUGGAAACAAGAUUCAAAUGGUUACCUCGAGUUCAGCAGACCUAUCUAGCAUGAGGACUCUGACUUAUCUGUUAAAGGAGAUGCUGAAAGCUGUGGAUCUAAAUGAUUGUAAUGCAGUUGAAGAUGAAGUAAUCAAAGACAUUGUAGACCAGUGUCACGCAAACCAAAAAAAAAAAAAAGGAGUCGAUCAAUUUAAUCAGGUGCCCGAACAUAUUGGUUGGUGAGAACCACUGCACUGAAAGGUGACCCUUUACCUUUCAUCCUUCAUCAGACUAUUUUUAAUCACUGGUCCCUAACAUAAUAAUAAUGCACACCAGCCGUGACUACUUUCCAACUGUAAUCCAAUGUUUCUAGCAUUUUUAUACGUCACUGCUUAUGAAGUCGGUCUUUCUCAUUCCAACUACUGUAUAUUGGAGUUUAGUAUGAUUGUGAAAGAUACUAAUAA
This is a long non-coding RNA of Zingiber officinale, 3555 nucleotides long. RefSeq lists it as uncharacterized. The transcript has 7 exons. Lineage: Eukaryota; Viridiplantae; Streptophyta; Magnoliopsida; Zingiberales; Zingiberaceae. The record is from RefSeq and is a predicted model, not a curated record.